RNAcentral lists this ribosomal RNA (330 nucleotides) under Coccinella quinquepunctata. Its description in RNAcentral is "partial 12S ribosomal RNA". Lineage: Eukaryota; Metazoa; Arthropoda; Insecta; Coleoptera; Coccinellidae. The record is from RNAcentral.
UUAGAUACCCUAUUAUUUAAAAUGUAAAUAUAAAAAANUAAGUGAUUAAUAGUUAAGUUCUUUAAAGCUAAAUAAUUUGGCGGUAUUUUAAACUUUUCAGAGGAACCUGUUCUGUAAUUGAUAAUCCACGAUUGAAUUAACUUUAAUUAGAAAUUUUUAUAUCGUCGUUGUUAAAUAUUUUAAAAGAACAUAAUAUUUAAAAAUUUUUUUAGAAAGUAAAUCAGAUCAAGGUGAAGUUAAUAUUAAAGAAGAAAUGGGUUACAAUAAAUUUUAUUUAUGAAUUUUUAAUUGAAAAUUUAAUUUGAAAUUGGAUUUGAAAGUAAUUAAUUA